GGUUGGAUGGCCGAGUGGUCUAAGGCGCCAGAUUCAGGACCAAUACCUUCGAGGUGUCCCCAAUGCAUUCAUUUGCUUUCUGGUCUUCACGGGCGUGGGUUCGAAUCCCACUCCAAUCA
Mycena epipterygia is the source of this 119-nucleotide non-coding RNA. The record is from the annotation of a GenBank genome assembly. Lineage: Eukaryota; Fungi; Basidiomycota; Agaricomycetes; Agaricales; Mycenaceae.